UUCUAUGCCCGUUCUCUCCCUGAUGGCUUCAAAGAUGCUCUGGAAUAAUAAUGCACAAACGUACAACAUGAUUGUAAGGACUGUUCUGACUGUAUUCUGACCCUCCUUUACACCCACGUGCAUCAGCGCAGCAUCAGGCAGCCCCGGCCACGUCCUUGGUGUUGGUCUUGCUUGAACCUGGGAGCAGCUUCAGGUUUACUCCAAGAUUUCACCAAAGCCCCAUCGCCAGCGAAGGUCUGACUGCAGUGACCUCCUGCACAGCUCACACCACCAAGUCUCAGUCUUCCAAGAAGAACCCAAAGGCAGGUGAGACAUUCAUUCAGCUCUCUGCUGUCUUUCAGGUAAGCAAAUUUAAACAUGUCUGGCAGUUCCAAUUAUUAUUCUUUUAACUGCACAACAAGAGAGGAAGGAAAAAAAAAGGAGAUUUAUCACAAAAGAUUAUUUUGGGGGAAGGGGAGGAGGACGGGGGAACUCUAGAAUGUUUUAUUUAUGGGAAUACUGCAAAUUACCUUAAUAAAUUCCUUUGCUAAGCUGUGUCAGCUACUAAAACAUUGUUCUUUGUGGGUGAAUAACUUUUAAUUUGAGCGUUCUAGUAUUCAGCAGAGUGAGGUAAUGGAUUAGCAAUUGCCUGUAUUGUAAAUGUCAUCUUGGCAUAAUUAGGGUGAUUAUUGUUAACCAGUGGAGUUCAGUAUUUAUCUGUCACUGGGUGAGAGGAUAUAACAAAGCCCCAAUUAGUUAUAAAUGGUAUAUAAAUUAGUUAUAAAUGGUGGUGGGUGGUGGGAAUGGAACGCAGCCCCUGAAAUGCUGCUUUUGUUUUAAAUUUGUUUCGGUGUUUAUUUGGUUUUAACGUCCGCAUUACCGUGAUCUCCCUGACGAGAGGGACCACGUGCACACACACCGUGUGCCGGGUGCCAGGCCUGGUUGCAGCGCUGGAUCCCUGCACAGCACCUGGGCUCCUGCACAUGUGGGGAAACCGUCCUCCACUCUGCCGGAUGGAAAUACGCACAGCCCCCGACUCUGCCCAGUACUGCAGGCCCACAGAAGCAGAAUUUCACAGUCUAGAUUGGUUGGAUUGGAGGGACCCCAAAGACUUCCAGCCGCAUCCCUGCUGUGGGCUGCAUGCCCUACAGCUCGGGCUGCCCGGUGCCCCUUCCUGAUCCACUCUCCCACUUAGGCUCCUUAUUGCCCAUUCAUUUCUAACAGCGCCGUUUCUAACGGUCAGAUGGAAACUGUAAGAGGAAGUGGUCUGAGUUCAGCUCUGCAAAGGAAGAGAUAGAAAACCAUAUAAUGGGCAGUGCACAGCAGUGUCCCCUUUGGGAAUGUCAUAUCCUUUUUCCCCGGGGCAGCAAGCAUCUAGCUCAAGGCACCAGGGUUAAUGUCCUUCACAAAUACUUAUCCGGCCUAAUAGAUCUGGGGAUAUUGCUACCACUCACAGAUAUUUCAAAAUCUCUCCUCUUAAUCCUGACAAGCUCUUGCCCUUAAUAACUUCAGUGGGACUCUUGCCAGAGCAAAGACUGUCAAGUCAGAUUCUCAAAUGAAACAAAAAGAAAAGCAGGAAGGGAAGUUCAAGGUGAGGGUUUUUUUUGCUUGGUGCUUUUUAUGGAUGUUCGUAGAUGGAAACUGUUGGGAUUUUUUCCUUCUGAUUACUUAAAUGAUGGAUGAGUCAAAUGUCCUGAGAAAGCCUUCCAGACCCAGCCACAAAUGGCAUAGAAUGGAGAGAGCAAAGCCAUCAGGGGCUGAGGACAGACAGAGAGAAAAGAAUGGGAGAGUAGCAUGGUAGGGAAAUAGCUUCAGUGGGAAGAAAGAGAUCUCAGAGGGAAGCGGGGAUCAUGUAAUUUGUGGAGAAAUAGUUUAUACAUUUUUGGUUAGUGAAUAUUUAAGUACGUUGUAAUAAUCAGUUGUUGUGAGUUAUCCCAGACACCUGGUUGCUCGUGUGUUCAGAGGUACCUCCUUUACUCUUUGGAAGCCUUUUGCAGUGCUCAGCCUCCUGUGACACAGCUUAUCUCAGCUUUCAUUAAAAAUGAGGGGAACGUUUCUAUUCUCUCUCUGUCGCAGAAAACCUAGAAAACAUGAAGCUGAGAGCCACAAAGCAAAUAAAGCCCCAGAUCCCAUUUUGAGACAUCCUGUGAUUGCUGGAGACGUUCUCAGUCCGGGGAUGAGGAGGGCAGAUCGAUGCUUUGCUGCGCUGAAGGCAGGCGCUGCUGAUAAGCGGUGAGCUCCCGUCGUGAUACGAGCACAGGAGGCAACGAGCAGCAAGAACAGAAGGUGGGAGCUGCUCUUAGAAAGAAUUGAGCUUUUCCUGCAGCCCUUUCAGAGCAGCACAAGGUGCCCCAGGAUCCCUGCAGGCACCAGCUCAGAAGCAGGACAGCUUUCUUUGCUCAGCUCCGCAUCGUCCUCGUGAGGCUUGGCUGAUCCCCCCUGCACAGCAGGUAUCCCCACAGCCCCAACCAAACCCCACACCAUUUGUUUCCUCCCUCUGCAGAUUCACCUUUUCACCCAAGGCAGGAACUGAUGUCACCACCUGGAGAUCUGCAACAUCUCUGGGAGGAUCCGCGAGCCUGUGGCCACAGCAGCAGCUGAGGGCUUCCCAGGAAGAAGAGGGUUUUGGGGUGGCUGGACCUGGAUUUACUUUCCACAGGAAUGCACAGAGAAGCAGAACUUUCUUUUUUCCUUCAGCAUCUAUGGGGGUGUCAGUAUUACUUCUACGGAGCGCUCAGCAGCAGGGAUUUUACACAGAUAUGUUCACUUUCCAUGGAAAGUCAAUAGAUACACUCAGAGCAAUUCCUGAACAGAAUAGGAGGUUAAAAGGGGACUUUUGAAAGGUCGAACUCACUUGUAUGAACGAAAGCAGUGUUUCAUUCCUUGAAGGCUUGAUCCAGCUCCCACUGCGAGAUACGAAAUUGCUUCAACAGAAACAGGACCUGACCUUAACCGAGAGACAAGCCAGGACCUGGAGCAGCCCCAGCCGCGUGACACAGGCACAGACAUGCCAGCAGCCACCUCCUCACCCUGCCCUGCUUUGUGUUGCAGUCAGUCCCUGGGAGAAAAUAGAAAUCCAUCACAAUGAGCAGAGCAGAGGCUUGGCUCGGUAGCGUCAUUUAAUGCCUGAUAAUCCCUCAUCCCAAUUUGCUUGAAUUUAUUAGAUGUCCCUGGAAACAGGUGUGAUGGAAAUACCAUGGAAACGUGAGACAAGUGGAGCCAUCAGUUCACAGCCUCUCCAGCAGCAGUUUCAUAGGGAGAGCAGAGCUGACAUCGCGUGGGCGCCUCCCUCUCCUCUCUCCAUCUUCACGUCAAGAGCCCAAAGAGCCCCACGCUGCAGCCUAAGGGGCACUUUUCAUCAGGACUGGAGUGGGAAUUGUGUCACAGCUGUCAGCACCAACAGUCCUCCCAAAGCAAUCCCAACAUGGGCAGAAAGGGGCAGAUUAAACUGCCUGAGCUAAGCUGCUUGCAUCUGGAGACACCCAGUGGGUGCUGCUUCCCUCUCCCCAGCCCUUACGCUUCAGCAGUGCCACUUGGCUCAGAUAAUUUACUUUUAAUAGUCUGGUUACAAAUGAGAUUGCAAAGGAAGCACGUGAUUCCGAACUGGGAUUUCUGAGUCACGUUCUCAUUUCCCCCUCGUGCCUCCUAGGCCUCUAAUAAACUACAAAGAGACAUUAAGAAAACAAUAAGAACUCUUUAUCUACUGAGACUGGGGAACAGGAACAGUGAGCCAGCAGUAAUGGAUUCUGCAUAUCUGCAGAACGUCCCUGCAGCAGCAGCCGAACGAGGGGACGGGAAGUUGGGUGCUCAGGACAUGCAGAGCCCGGAGCAGCCGGCAGCAGUGGGUAGAAAGCAGGUGAGCAGUGCCUGAGGCCGGCUGAACAACCCUGCCAGGCAUUUGGCCAGCAGGCGUUUGGCCACGUCCACGCUGCGUUCCAUUGCAAACUCAGGGGGAAUCAGGCAGCUGUCGUGUGUGCUGUGAGACAUCUCCCACCUCACCCCCGUGUGCACUGCAUCGCCUGGGCCAGGAUAAACCGCAGGUGUUUGCAGCAGCACGUAAAUGGGAAAAGAAAAGGGGUCACAUCCUACCCCGGCCUGCAGCAUCUCUGAUGGUGACGGUGGUUCUGCAGACAACUGCAGGUAAUGGGAAAUCAGGCCCAGGGACUCAGCAGACAAAGGUGUCCCCCAAGGCAAGGAAAUCAAUGCAAAAUAAAGUGGAGGUUAAAAACACAUACGCAGAACUAAUUACAGAAAGAGAACUGAGCCUGGGGUAGAUGAGAGCCCUUGAUAAAAGAAAUGGCUCCACCUGGUAAAUGGAGCAGUUGGCCUCAAUGGCUUGGGUUAUUUAUUUUAUUUUUUCUCUUUCUUCAUGUAGGUCAGAUGCCUUCCCAAGGGGGAUUCUCUUAAACUCCUGCUUAGGAUCUCAAUUACAAACUCAACACAAAUUAACAACAACAGAUAAUAGAACAGUUAGAGCAAAAGAAACCUCAGAGAAGCACACAGUACACAGAACAGAUAGCAAAGGGUUCAUGGAAAAGGAAAAUCAGUGUGACAGAUAUUUAUUACUAUCUUUAUGAGGGGAGAUGGGACUCAACCAGAGCCCAUUUUGAGUUCUGUUAUGCUGGGGUUUUGCCAUAAACGAAAGUGAUGAGUCCAGCCCUAUCCUUACACUUUUGUGCCCAGCACAUUUUAAUUAGGGUUAAGAAAACAGAAGGGAGGAAAUAAAAACAAGGAAAAAUAAAGAGAGAAAAGAGGUAAGAAAAAUCUCAGCUGAUUCAUAAUUUAGUGUCUGUUCUGCUCAGGCUUCUGUUGGAUCUUCCAAAAGCAACGUCCCCUUUCAUUCAGAUUGGGUAGCUCCUGUUCAAACGUCCUUUUGAUGCCACACAUGAAGAGAAAACAAACAACCAUGAGCAGAGAGAGGAAGAGAAAAAAGAAGGCAAACAAUGCAAUAUGUAUAGAACCUAACACAACACAGCAUCCCACACUGGGAGGCAGAGCCCAGCACUGGUGACUGUAAUUCAGCACGAGUGGAAACACACCAGAAAAAGAAAGGACAGCGUUAUGAGUAACCACAUCCUUGCUUUCACAGCCUGCCUCCCAGCACACACACUGAGCAAGGUGUGCACAGACACGUUCAGAGCCGUGCAGCAGGAGCACAGGAAUGCCCGUUUGCAGACAGCUGUGCGAACGUCACCACCAUCUCCAUGGGGCGCAGGAGCCAUGCUGGCAGGUUUCUGCAGCGACCCACGAAAUGUGUUCCCCCUGCUUGACCCAUCCCUCCGCGUUUCUCACUGCGCUUGGACGUGGUGGAGGUUGGUAGCAUUGAGCCCAGAUUCCAGUCAAGAAAUUUGAAAUUGGAUUUGAGG
Non-coding RNA from Meleagris gallopavo (turkey), 5345 nucleotides. The record is from RefSeq and is a predicted model, not a curated record. NCBI's taxonomy places the organism in Eukaryota, Metazoa, Chordata, Aves, Galliformes, Phasianidae.